UCUGCUAUAUACCUGAGCCCCAUCUUCUAAAGACAGGCUUCGAUCUUUAGCUGGCUGAGUGGCUUGGGCCUACCACAUCUUAUGUAGAGUUUACUUUCUACACCUCUAUGUAUUUCUACUCGAGGUAAUCACGUAUAUCCCUGUUCUAUGUGCUUGGACUUCUGGUGAGAUCUUGACUCCUUAGCGAGGGCUAUGGACUAUUAUCU
RNAcentral lists this long non-coding RNA (206 nucleotides) under Elaeis guineensis (African oil palm). RNAcentral's name for it is "long non-coding RNA (EGUI_LNC045119)". Lineage: Eukaryota; Viridiplantae; Streptophyta; Magnoliopsida; Arecales; Arecaceae. The record is from RNAcentral.